GGGGGCUCGAACCCCAGCACCACCGGUUCGUAAGUUACCCCGGGAUGGUCAUCAGCUGCACGCAUCUCCGGGUGGUAAGAGGGAUCAGUAGGGGAGUAGAUUCUGUCCUCGUCGAGAUUGUACGAGGCAUGAGUGGGGGAGUAAGGGGCGUCGCGAGGGUUCGGGUCCGACGACUCCGCCACGACGGACAUGUCCGCAUCUGCGGCGGGCAUGUCGCCGGAGCCUGCUGCGGCAGCAGCAGGGAGAGAGCCAAGGGCGAGGUCGGAGCCGAGAUCGUCAAGAACAAGUCGGCGGGGUGAUCGAGGGAGACCUAGGUACAGAUUCAGAUCCAUCCAGCGAAGCCUGCUCUCAUUUCCCUCAUCGGCCAUUACAGGUCCCCCACCCCCAAAUCUCAGCAAGA
Molecule: unclassified non-coding RNA, 400 nt
Filed under: Hevea brasiliensis (rubber tree)
Lineage: Eukaryota; Viridiplantae; Streptophyta; Magnoliopsida; Malpighiales; Euphorbiaceae
Source: RNAcentral